This 212-nucleotide ribosomal RNA is filed under the name Protanaostigma sp. D2038. RNAcentral describes it as "partial 28S ribosomal RNA". It matches the Rfam family "Eukaryotic large subunit ribosomal RNA", at positions 967 to 1163 of the family's 3401-position model. The record is from RNAcentral. Lineage: Eukaryota; Metazoa; Arthropoda; Insecta; Hymenoptera; Tanaostigmatidae.
UUUCCCUCAGGAUAGCUGGCACUCGCGCUCAUGCGAGUCUCAUCUGGUAAAGCGAAUGAUUAGAGGCCUUGGGGCCGAAACGACCUCAACCUAUUCUCAAACUUUAAAUGGGUGAGAUCUCUGGCUUGCUUGAACGUUGAAGCCAUGAGAAAGUUGAAUGGAUCAGAGUGCCAAGUGGGCCAAUUUUGGUAAGCAGAACUGGCGCUGUGGGA